AUUGAACGCUGGCGGCAGGCCUAACACAUGCAAGUCGAGCGAGCGGCGGACGGUUGAGUAAUGUCUGGGAAACUGCCUGAUGGAGGGGGAUAACUACUGGAAACGGUAGCUAAUACCGCAUACCAUCAGAUGUGCCCAGAUGUGAUUAGCUAGUAGGUGGGGUAACGGCUCACCUAGGCGACUAUCCCUAGCUGGUCUUUGAGGAUGACCAGCCAAACUGGAACUGAGACACGGUCCAGACUCCUACGGGAGGCAGCAGUGGGGAAGAUUGCACAAGGGGCGCAAGCCUGAUGCAGCCAUGCCGCGUGUGUGAAGAAGGCCUUCGGGUUGUAAAGCACUUUCAGCGGGGAGGCGUUACCCGCAGAAGAAGCACCGGCUAACUCCGUGCCAGCAGCCGCGGUAAUUC
RNAcentral lists this ribosomal RNA (406 nucleotides) under uncultured bacterium. RNAcentral describes it as "partial 16S ribosomal RNA". It matches the Rfam family "Bacterial small subunit ribosomal RNA", at positions 30 to 526 of the family's 1533-position model. The record is from RNAcentral.